GGGGUUGUGGCUUAGUGGUAGAGCGCUUGCCUAGCAUGCAUGAGACACUGGGUUCGAUUCUCAGCACCA
RNAcentral lists this transfer RNA (69 nucleotides) under Ictidomys tridecemlineatus (thirteen-lined ground squirrel). RNAcentral describes it as "Spermophilus tridecemlineatus (thirteen-lined ground squirrel) tRNA". It matches the Rfam family "tRNA". From Rfam's summary of the family: Transfer RNA (tRNA) molecules are approximately 80 nucleotides in length. Their secondary structure includes four short double-helical elements and three loops (D, anti-codon, and T loops). Further hydrogen bonds mediate the characteristic L-shaped molecular structure. tRNAs have two regions of fundamental functional importance: the anti-codon, which is responsible for specific mRNA codon recognition, and the 3' end, to which the tRNAs corresponding amino acid is attached (by aminoacyl-tRNA synthetases). tRNAs cope with the degeneracy of the genetic code in two manners: having more than one tRNA (with a specific anti-codon) for a particular amino acid; and 'wobble' base-pairing, i.e. permitting non-standard base-pairing at the 3rd anti-codon position. The record is from Rfam by way of RNAcentral. Lineage: Eukaryota; Metazoa; Chordata; Mammalia; Rodentia; Sciuridae.